UGAGUAACAACGAAUGGCGAGAAGUCAGCAGAGGUCAUAGUACCAUCGUAGUUGCAAACAUGAUGGAAAGGAC
Molecule: non-coding RNA, 73 nt
Organism: Lachnospiraceae bacterium A2
Lineage: Bacteria; Bacillati; Bacillota; Clostridia; Lachnospirales; Lachnospiraceae
Source: Rfam